UACGUAGGGGGCAAGCGUUGUCCGGAAUCAUUGGGCGUAAAGAGCGUGUAGGCGGCUCGGUAAGUCCGCUGUGAAAGUCCAGGGCUCAACCCUGGAAUGCCGGUGGAAACUGUCGAGCUAGAGUCCGGAAGAGGCGAGUGGAAUUCCUGGUGUAGCGGUGAAAUGCGUAGAUAUCAGGAGGAACACCUGCGGUGUAGACGGCUAUCUGGACGGUUACUGACGCUGAGACACGAAAGCGUGGGUAGCAAACAGG
Molecule: ribosomal RNA, 253 nt
Filed under: uncultured bacterium
Lineage: Bacteria
Description: partial 16S ribosomal RNA
Rfam family: Bacterial small subunit ribosomal RNA
Source: RNAcentral